UUUCCUUCCAGAUACAGUGCUGGAAGCAUCUGUUCUUAUCAGUUUAAUAUGUGAUACGUACUCGAUGAGAGGACUUUAUAUUAAAUGGAUUUUUGGGCUCGGGAGUUGGAUCCGUAGCUUGCUUUUUUUUUUUUUUUUUUUUCCAGGCCCAAAGAGUCGUGGUGAAUGGAGUCAAA
This 176-nucleotide small nuclear RNA is filed under the name Cairina moschata (Muscovy duck). RNAcentral describes it as "domestica (muscovy Duck (domestic type)) U2 spliceosomal RNA (ENSCMMG00000008807.1)". It matches the Rfam family "U2 spliceosomal RNA". Rfam says of the family: U2 is a small nuclear RNA (snRNA) component of the spliceosome (involved in pre-mRNA splicing). Complementary binding between U2 snRNA (in an area lying towards the 5' end but 3' to hairpin I) and the branchpoint sequence (BPS) of the intron results the bulging out of an unpaired adenosine, on the BPS, which initiates a nucleophilic attack at the intronic 5' splice site, thus starting the first of two transesterification reactions that mediate splicing. The record is from RNAcentral. Lineage: Eukaryota; Metazoa; Chordata; Aves; Anseriformes; Anatidae.